RNAcentral lists this ribosomal RNA (252 nucleotides) under uncultured bacterium. RNAcentral describes it as "partial 16S ribosomal RNA". It matches the Rfam family "Bacterial small subunit ribosomal RNA", at positions 524 to 775 of the family's 1533-position model. The record is from RNAcentral.
UACGGGGGGGGCAAGCGUUGUUCGGAAUUACUGGGCGUAAAGGCUCGUAGGCGGCCAACUAAGUCAGACGUGAAAUCCCUCGGCUUAACCGGGGAACUGCAUCUGAUACUGGAUGGCUUGAGUUCGGGAGAGGGAUGCGGAAUUCCCAGUGUAGAGGUGAAAUUCGUAGAUAUUGGGAAGAACACCGAUGGCGAAGGACAGCCAUCUGGACCGACACUGACGCUGAGGCGCGAAAGCGUGGGGAGCAACAGG